This 254-nucleotide ribosomal RNA is filed under the name uncultured archaeon. Its description in RNAcentral is "partial 16S ribosomal RNA". It matches the Rfam family "Archaeal small subunit ribosomal RNA", at positions 345 to 599 of the family's 1478-position model. The record is from RNAcentral.
AACCUUUACAAUGCACGCAAGUGCGAUAAGGGGACCCCGAGUGUUGGUGCCUAGCAUCAACUGUCUAACUGCCUAAAAACAGUUAUUAGCAAGAGCCGGGUAAGACCGGUGCCAUCCGCCGCGGUAAUACCAGCAGCCCAAGUGGUGGUCGCGUUUAUUGGGCCUAAAGCGCUCGUAGCCGGGCUUGCAAGUCCCUUGUGAAAUCGGACGGCUCAACCGUUCGGCAUGCAAGGGGAUACUGCUGGCCUUGGGAU